Molecule: long non-coding RNA, 271 nt
Filed under: Elaeis guineensis (African oil palm)
Lineage: Eukaryota; Viridiplantae; Streptophyta; Magnoliopsida; Arecales; Arecaceae
Description: long non-coding RNA (EGUI_LNC021415)
Source: RNAcentral
GUGUUCCAAUCUGUCAAAGAUCAAUAUUAUCUAAUUCCUCCAUUUCAUAUAAAAGAGUAUUUCUAUCUAUCUCAUACUUACUUGAAAAAUCAUUCUUAAGGAAAGUGACAUCCCGUGAUUUAAUGUCAGUCACAUUUCCAUCUGCAUAUUCACCUAAGAAUAUAUAAUCUUUGGAGUAUUCUGAGUAUCUAAUUAAAAAUGCAUUUCUUUUCUUUUGGAUCUAACUUUCUAUAUUGAUCAGAAGGAUCAUGAACAUAGGCAACAGACCCCC